GACGAACGCUGGCGGCGUGCCUAAUACAUGCAAGUCGAACGAACCGCGACUAGGUGCUUGCACUUGGUCAAGGUGAGUGGCGAACGGGUGAGUAACACGUGGGUAACCUACCUCAUAGUGGGGGAUAACAGUCGGAAACGACUGCUAAUACCGCAUAGGACAUAGGAUCACAUGAUUCUGUGAGGAAAGGUGGCGCAAGCUAUCGCUAAGAGAUGGACCCGCGGUGCAUUAGCUAGUUGGUAGGGUAAAGGCCUACCAAGGCGAUGAUGCAUAGCCGACCUGAGAGGGUGAUCGGCCACAUUGGGACUGAGACACGGCCCAAACUCCUACGGGAGGCAGCAGUAAGGAAUCUUCCGCAAUGGACGCAAGUCUGACGGAGCAACGCCGCGUGAGUGAAGAAGGUCUUCGGAUCGUAAAGCUCUGUUGUUAGAGAAGAACAGCGCAUAGAGUAACUGUUAUGCGUGUGACGGUAUCUAACCAGAAAGCCACGGCUAACUACGUG
RNAcentral lists this ribosomal RNA (502 nucleotides) under uncultured bacterium. RNAcentral's name for it is "partial 16S ribosomal RNA". It matches the Rfam family "Bacterial small subunit ribosomal RNA", at positions 28 to 507 of the family's 1533-position model. The record is from RNAcentral.